This 253-nucleotide ribosomal RNA is filed under the name uncultured bacterium. RNAcentral describes it as "partial 16S ribosomal RNA". It matches the Rfam family "Bacterial small subunit ribosomal RNA", at positions 524 to 776 of the family's 1533-position model. The record is from RNAcentral.
UACGUAGGGGGCAAGCGUUGUCCGGAAUUACUGGGCGUAAAGCGUGCGCAGGCGGUUUUGCAAGCCGGAUGUGAAAUCCCCGGGCUUAACCUGGGAAUGGCAUUUGGGACUGCAAGGCUGGAGUGCGGCAGAGGAGACUGGAAUUCCUGGUGUAGCAGUGAAAUGCGUAGAUAUCAGGAGGAACACCGAUGGCGAAGGCAGGUCUCUGGGCUGACACUGACGCUCAUGCACGAAAGCGUGGGGAGCAAACAGG